CCUACGGGGGGCAGCAGUGAGGAAUAUUGGUCAAUGGGCGCAACCCUGAACCAGCCAAGUCGCGUGAAGGAUGACGGCCCUAUGGGUUGUAAACCUCUUUUGUCCGGGAACAAACUCAGUGACGUGUGCCUGAUUGCAGGUAACCCAUGAAUAAGGCCCGGCUAAGUCCGUGCCAGCAGCCGCGGUAAUACGGAGGGUCCGGGCGUUAUCCGGAUUUAUUGGGUUUAAAGGGAGCGUAGGCCGCCCGUUAAGGGAGUGGUGAAAUGCCGGGGCUCAACCCCGUCCCGCCGUGGAAACUGGGGGGCUUGAGUGGGCGAGAAGAAGGCGGAAUGCGUGGUGUAGCGGUGAAAUGCAUAGAUAUCACGCAGAACCCCGAUUGCGAAGGCAGCCUACCGGCGCCCUACUGACGCUGAGGCACGAAAGUGCGGGGAUCGAACAGGAUUAGAUACCCUAGUAGUC
RNAcentral lists this ribosomal RNA (459 nucleotides) under uncultured bacterium. RNAcentral's name for it is "partial 16S ribosomal RNA". It matches the Rfam family "Bacterial small subunit ribosomal RNA", at positions 338 to 795 of the family's 1533-position model. The record is from RNAcentral.